RNAcentral lists this ribosomal RNA (450 nucleotides) under uncultured bacterium. Its description in RNAcentral is "partial 16S ribosomal RNA". It matches the Rfam family "Bacterial small subunit ribosomal RNA", at positions 354 to 796 of the family's 1533-position model. The record is from RNAcentral.
GUGGGGAAUUUUGGACAAUGGGCGCAAGCCUGAUCCAGCAAUGCCGCGUGCAGGAAGAAGGCCUUCGGGUUGUAAACUGCUUUUGUACGGAACGAAACGGUCCGGGUUAAUACCCUGGGCUAAUGACGGUACCGUAAGAAUAAGCACCGGCUAACUACGUGCCAGCAGCCGCGGUAAUACGUAGGGUGCAAGCGUUAAUCGGAAUUACUGGGCGUAAAGCGUGCGCAGGCGGUUUUGUAAGACAGGCGUGAAAUCCCCGGGCUCAACCUGGGAAUUGCGCUUGUGACUGAAAGGCUGGAGUGCGGCAGAGGGGGAUGGAAUUCCGCGUGUAGCAGUGAAAUGCGUAGAUAUGCGGAGGAACACCGAUGGCGAAGGCAAUCCCCUGGGCCUGCACUGACGCUCAUGCACGAAAGCGUGGGGAGCAAACAGGAUUAGAAACCCUUGUAGUCC